CCUACGGGCGGCAGCAGUGGGGAAUAUUGCACAAUGGGGGAAACCCUGAUGCAGCGACGCCGCGUGAGUGAAGAAGUAUUUCGGUAUGUAAAGCUCUAUCAGCAGGGAAGAAAUAGCGACCUUUGGGUCGCCAGACGGUACCUGAUUAAGAAGCCCCGGCUAACUACGUGCCAGCAGCCGCGGUAAUACGUAGGGGGCAAGCGUUAUCCGGAUUUACUGGGUGUAAAGGGAGAGGAGACGGCAGCGCAAGGCUGAAGGGAAAUGCCGGGGCUUCACCCCGGAACUGCUUUGGAAACUGUGCAGCUAGAGUGCAGGAGAGGUAAGUGGAAUGCCUAGUGUAGCGGUGAAAUGCGUAGAUAUGAGGAGGAACACCAGUGGCGAAGGCGGCUUACUGGACUGUAACUGACGUUGAGGCUCGAAAGCGUGGGGAGCAAACAGGAUUAGAUACCCGUGUAGUC
Molecule: ribosomal RNA, 458 nt
Filed under: uncultured bacterium
Lineage: Bacteria
Description: partial 16S ribosomal RNA
Rfam family: Bacterial small subunit ribosomal RNA
Source: RNAcentral